RNAcentral lists this ribosomal RNA (484 nucleotides) under uncultured bacterium. RNAcentral's name for it is "partial 16S ribosomal RNA". It matches the Rfam family "Bacterial small subunit ribosomal RNA", at positions 30 to 507 of the family's 1533-position model. The record is from RNAcentral.
UUGCACGCUGGCGGCAUGCCUUACCCCUGCCAGUCGCACGGCAGCACGGGUGCUUGCACCUGGUGGCGAGUGGCGAACGGGUGAGUAAUACAUCGGAACGUACCUUAUCGUGGGGGAUAACGCAGCGAAAGUUGCGCUAAUACCGCAUACGCCCUGAGGGGGAAAGCGGGGGACCGUAAGGCCUCGCGCGAUUAGAGCGGCCGAUGUCUGAUUAGCUUGUUGGUGAGGUAAAAGCUCACCAAGGCGAUGAUCAGUAGCUGGUCUGAGAGGACGAUCAGCCACACUGGGACUGAGACACGGCCCAGACUCCUACGGGAGGCAGCAGUGGGGAAUUUUGGACAAUGGGGGCAACCCUGAUCCAGCAAUGCCGCGUGAGUGAAGAAGGCCUUCGGGUUGUAAAGCUCUUUUGUCAGGGAAGAAACAGCAGCUCUAACACAGUCUGCGAAUGACGGUACCUGAAGAAUAAGCACCGGCUAACUACGUG